Long non-coding RNA from Haliotis rubra (blacklip abalone), 290 nucleotides. RefSeq lists it as uncharacterized. The transcript is spliced from 2 exons. The record is from RefSeq and is a predicted model, not a curated record. NCBI's taxonomy places the organism in Eukaryota, Metazoa, Mollusca, Gastropoda, Lepetellida, Haliotidae.
CCCAUGACAGGCCACCACGCCCUGUAGACAGCAAGUCAAGUACAAAGUCUACAUGACCAUGUGUUGGGGUGAGGUGUCUGGAUACUCUAGGGCCCAUGACAGGCCACCGUGUCCGGUAGACAUUCCAAGACAUGUUCUCAAUGACCUUAUGUCGGUUGUAAGUCCAAUGUGAUGGCAGGUUUUUAUUGUACAAGUCUGGACAACCAGGGAAUUACUUCAGAAUUGUUUCAGAACUAUUUGAUUCUGAACUACCAACAUCUACAGAAUAUACAUAAAAGUCAAUCAAAUCA